RNAcentral lists this long non-coding RNA (232 nucleotides) under Malus domestica (apple). Its description in RNAcentral is "long non-coding RNA (MDOM_LNC006637)". The record is from RNAcentral. Lineage: Eukaryota; Viridiplantae; Streptophyta; Magnoliopsida; Rosales; Rosaceae.
CACUACCACCUUAAUUAGAUGGUGGUCCUCUCCCUAGCCUAUAAAUACUUCCACCCUUCACCAUAACAAAUAGGGGAGAUCCAUCCAAAGACACAUUCACGCGGACAGUUUAGGGAGAAGGGAGGAAGGCACAUUAUGCCGCAAGGCAGAGUCUUUUCUUCUUAACCAUUAUACACAUUCUCAUAACAAAAACACAAUUCCAUGCACCUUCAUUUCCCUUUCCUUGCUGUGA